UAGGGAAUCUUCCGCAAUGGACGCAAGUCUGACGGAGCAACGCCGCGUGAGUGAAGAAGGAUUUCGGUUCGUAAAACUCUGUUGUUAGAGAAGAACAGCGCAUAGAGUAACUGUUAUGCGUGUGACGGUAUCUAACCAGAAAGCCACGGCUAACCACGUGCCAGCAGCCGCGGUAAUACGUAGGUGGCAAGCGUUGUCCGGAUUUAUUGGGCGUAAAGCGAGCGCAGGCGGUCAAUUAAGUCUGAUGUGAAAGCCCCCGGCUCAACCGGGGAGGGUCAUUGGAAACUGGGUGACUUGAGUGCAGAAGAGGAGAGUGGAAUUCCAUGUGUAGCGGUGAAAUGCGUAGAUAUAUGGAGGAACACCAGUGGCGAAGGCGACUCUCUGAUCUGUAACUGACGCUGAGGUUCGAAAGCGUGGGUAGCAAACAGG
Molecule: ribosomal RNA, 429 nt
Filed under: Bacteroidota bacterium
Lineage: Bacteria; Pseudomonadati; Bacteroidota
Description: Bacteroidetes bacterium partial 16S ribosomal RNA
Rfam family: Bacterial small subunit ribosomal RNA
Source: RNAcentral